UGUAGAACUUGCAAGAUGAGAUGAUGGAUCUGAUGGACAUAAGUAAUGAGAUUCAAGAGUCACUAGGCAGAAGCUACAAUGUUCCUGAUGACAUUGAUGAAGAGGAACUCCUGGGAGAGCUUGAUGCUUUGGAAGUGGACAUGGGAACAGAGAUGGAUGCUGAUGGGGUGCCCUCUUAUCUCCAACCUGACAAGGACCAUGAUGUGGAAGCUGAACUCAACUUGCCUUCUGCCCCAAUAGGACAUGUAACAAUCACUGCGGGCAGAUCAAACGUCCAGGCUGAGGAUGAACUUGGUUUACCUGCUGUGCCUCAUGCAUCUAUUCGCAACUAGCAUAGGAGCUGCUGGGCAGAAAGAAAUUGCGCAGAAUUUAAUUUGAUUUAUGUUAUUCAACUGAUAUCAUGCGGAGUAUGGGGUUGGCUAUUUGAUAAAUAAAAACUGAUGCAGGCCUAAUUUGGCUACAGACACAAGAAGGGGCAUGUGUACAGGCAACUGCACAAAUUUGAUUGUGCUAACAAAUCUGCACAGUUGUUUCCUUCUUGAAGCCUGGUGUUCGGUCAAAUUCGUUUUGGAUUGAAGAUACUAUGUAAGUGAUAAUGAGUUUGAACUCUUAUUUAACCAAACUUCUGUUUCUAUAGGGGAGAAUUUUGGACAUC
This is an RNA transcript of Vitis vinifera (wine grape), 655 nucleotides long. It is a transcript of the gene named vacuolar protein sorting-associated protein 60.2, with no coding region annotated. The record is from RefSeq and is a predicted model, not a curated record. The transcript is spliced from 4 exons. Lineage: Eukaryota; Viridiplantae; Streptophyta; Magnoliopsida; Vitales; Vitaceae.